This 232-nucleotide ribosomal RNA is filed under the name uncultured fungus. RNAcentral's name for it is "partial 18S ribosomal RNA". It matches the Rfam family "Eukaryotic small subunit ribosomal RNA", at positions 40 to 274 of the family's 1831-position model. Lineage: Eukaryota; Fungi. The record is from RNAcentral.
AAGAUUAAGCCAUGCAUGUCUAAGUAUAAACAUUUGUACUGUGAAACUGCGGACGGCUCAUUAAAUCAGUUAUAGUUUAUUUGAUAGUAACUACUACUUGGAUAACCGUGGUAAUUCUAGAGCUAAUACAUGCACUGAAAUCCCGACUUCUGGAAGGGAUGUAUUUAUUAGAUAAAAAACCAACCCGGGCAACCGGUUCUUUGGUGAAUCAUAUUAACUUAACGGAUCGCAU